UACGAAGGAUGCGAGCGUUAUCCGGAUUUAUUGGGUUUAAAGGGUGCGUAGGCGGCCUUAUAAGUCAGUGGUGAAAUCCUAUCGCUUAACGAUAGACGUGCCAUUGAUACUGUAGGGCUUGAGUACAGAUGCCGUUGGCGGAAUGUGUCAUGUAGCGGUGAAAUGCAUAGAUAUGACACAGAACACCUAUAGCGAAGGCAGCUUACUAGGCUGUAACUGACGCUGAGGCACGAAAGUGUGGGGAUCAAACAGG
RNAcentral lists this ribosomal RNA (253 nucleotides) under uncultured bacterium. RNAcentral's name for it is "partial 16S ribosomal RNA". It matches the Rfam family "Bacterial small subunit ribosomal RNA", at positions 524 to 776 of the family's 1533-position model. The record is from RNAcentral.